GCUUCUCUGAUGUUAGCGGCGGACGGGUGAGUAACACGUGGAUAACCUACCUAUAAGACUGGGAUAACUUCGGGAAACCGGAGCUAAUACCGGAUAAUAUUUUGAACCGCAUGGUUCAAAAGUGAAAGACGGUCUUGCUGUCACUUAUAGAUGGAUCCGCGCUGCAUUAGCUAGUUGGUAAGGUAACGGCUUACCAAGGCAACGAUGCAUAGCCGACCUGAGAGGGUGAUCGGCCACACUGGAACUGAGACACGGUCCAGACUCCUACGGGAGGCAGCAGUAGGGAAUCUUCCGCAAUGGGCGAAAGCCUGACGGAGCAACGCCGCGUGAGUGAUGAAGGUCUUCGGAUCGUAAAACUCUGUUAUUAGGGAAGAACAUAUGUGUAAGUAACUGUGCACAUCUUGACGGUACCUAAUCAGAAAGCCACGGCUAACUACGUGCCAGCAGCCGCGGUAAUACGUAGGUGGCAAGCGUUAUCCGGAAUUAUUGGGCGUAAAGCGCGC
This 503-nucleotide ribosomal RNA is filed under the name Staphylococcus aureus. RNAcentral's name for it is "bacterial SSU rRNA". It matches the Rfam family "Bacterial small subunit ribosomal RNA", at positions 79 to 570 of the family's 1533-position model. The record is from RNAcentral. Lineage: Bacteria; Bacillati; Bacillota; Bacilli; Caryophanales; Staphylococcaceae.